RNAcentral lists this ribosomal RNA (465 nucleotides) under Vreelandella stevensii. Its description in RNAcentral is "partial 16S ribosomal RNA". It matches the Rfam family "Bacterial small subunit ribosomal RNA", at positions 338 to 795 of the family's 1533-position model. Lineage: Bacteria; Pseudomonadati; Pseudomonadota; Gammaproteobacteria; Oceanospirillales; Halomonadaceae. The record is from RNAcentral.
CCUACGGGGGGCAGCAGUGGGGAAUAUUGGACAAUGGGGGCAACCCUGAUCCAGCCAUGCCGCGUGUGUGAAGAAGGCCCUCGGGUUGUAAAGCACUUUCAGUGAGGAAGAACGCCUGGUGGUUAAUACCCAUCAGGAAAGACAUCACUCACAGAAGAAGCACCGGCUAACUCCGUGCCAGCAGCCGCGGUAAUACGGAGGGUGCGAGCGUUAAUCGGAAUUACUGAGCGUAAAGCGCGCGUAGGUGGCUUGAUAAGCCGGUUGUGAAAGCCCCGGGCUCAACCUGGGAACGGCAUCCGGAACUGUCAAGCUAGAGUGCAGGAGAGGAAGGUAGAAUUCCCGGUGUAGCGGUGAAAUGCGUAGAGAUCGGGAGGAAUACCAGUGGCGAAGGCGGCCUUCUGGACUGACACUGACACUGAGGUGCGAAAGCGUGGGUAGCAAACAGGAUUAGAUACCCUGGUAGUC